GACAGCAGCAGCCACGGGAAUACGGAGGGUGCAAGCGUUAUCCGGAUUUAUUGGGUUUAAAGGGUCCGUAGGCGGAUCUGUAAGUCAGUGGUGAAAUCUCACAGCUUAACUGUGAAACUGCCAUUGAUACUGCAGGUCUUGAGUAAAUUUGAAGUGGCUGGAAUAAGUAGUGUAGCGGUGAAAUGCAUAGAUAUUACUUAGAACACCAAUUGCGAAGGCAGGUCACUAAGAUUUAACUGACGCUGAUGGACGAAAGCGUGGGGAGCGAACAGGAUUAGAUACCCGUGUAGUCCCUGUCUCUUAUAC
This 306-nucleotide ribosomal RNA is filed under the name uncultured bacterium. Its description in RNAcentral is "partial 16S ribosomal RNA". It matches the Rfam family "Bacterial small subunit ribosomal RNA", at positions 507 to 807 of the family's 1533-position model. The record is from RNAcentral.